Molecule: long non-coding RNA, 2080 nt
Filed under: Mytilus galloprovincialis (Mediterranean mussel)
Lineage: Eukaryota; Metazoa; Mollusca; Bivalvia; Mytilida; Mytilidae
Source: RNAcentral
UUUUUAUAGAUAGAGAUAAACUGUAAACAGAAAUAGUGUACAACAAAGUAAGACCUAAAAUUAAGUCAACAUGACCAAAAUGGUCAAUUGACCCUCUAAGGAGUUUUUGUCCUUUAUAGUCAAUUUUUAACAAUUUUCAUAAAGUUUGUAAAUUUUUACUAACAUUUUCCACUGAAACUACUGAGCCAAGUUCAUUAUAGAAAGAGAUAAUUGUAAGCAGCAAGAAUGUACAGUAAAGUAAGAUGUACAAACACAUCACCAUCACCAAAACACAAUUUUGUCAUGAAUCCAUCUGCUUCCUUUGUUUAAUAUUCACAUAGACCAAGGUAAGCUACACAGGCUCUUUAGAGCCUCUAGUUUACUAUUUUAUGUAUUAUAUUUCAUUUGCAUUGGAAAAUAUCAAUGUUUCUGCAAACUAUUUGAGUUUUCAAACAAUUUUCUGUCUGAAAGUGGUAAAUAAACUUUUGUAGAUAAAUAUUGUUUCUAAAAUCAUAUACAUGUAUAUAUUUCUAGUUUCUGCUAAGAUAUUGUUUUUUUUUCUAUUUUCCUGUCGUUUACCCUGUAAAAUGUAAUUAAAAGAUUUGCAAUAAAUGUACAGCUAAAUUGAAUUUCAAAAAGCUUAUGCAAAUCUACAAAUUCAAUAAAGCAGAAAACGAACAAUGCACGACCGCGCAAUAAUAAUAUGUUAAGUACACCAAAAGAGUAUAGAACCAAAACAGAUGUGCAUGAUAGCAAAGUCGCGAAUGAACAUAUGAUCCUUUUACUGUUAUGGCAAAUUUCAAAUGUAGCAACUCGCAAUUAUUUUGUUUUUAACUUUUACAAGGACUGAACCACUGUUGACCUUACAUUCAGUAUAAAACUUAGAUGAAGUUUUGCAAUCUUAUCAAAACAGUAAUGGAAGUUUGAUAAAAUACCGUGAACUAAGUGUUUUUAAGAUGUUUAGACAAUUUCACUGUAUAUUUUUACUGUCUUAUUUUAGCUAAAAUUUCGUCUUUAUUCAGAUAACUGAUUAUUGUCGUUUUUGUCUUUAUUUAUCAUAACACAUAUUGUACUCAGCUGAUGUAUUAUUGUUUUUGUUUAAUUUUUUGUGAUGAAAAAAGGUUUUGGUAAGAUUGGUACUUUUUGUUUUCAAUCCUUUUGUAAAUUUUGUGUACUUUUUUUACCAUUUGAUGAGUCAAGUCCUUCCCAAAGGUUCUUUAGUGCUUUUUAUAUUGUUCUGUUACGCCUGUUGAGUAACGGUUGAACGCUCAAAAACAUAUUCAACAAUGAAAACCAUUCGAUAUGUGCAAUAUAUAAGUCAAUAACCUGUAAUUAAAAGGUUAGCGUUUUCAUUUCAUUUAUUUCACAUUUGUCAAGAUAGGGUGUUUUCUAGAUUACUAUACACAAUGUUUGUGUGCCUUUUUUGUUUACAUAGUCGUCGUGCUGUCUUUCUUUGUCUAUUUCUCGUUUGUAGUUGGCACUUCGGUGUUGACACGAAUUUCAAUUAUAUGGUAAUCUUCUUUUUUUUUUAAUUUCCUGUUAACCAAACUUUGAACUUUUGGAAAAACUAAGGAUUUUCUUAUCCCAGGAGUAGAUUACCUUAAGUAAGACGUAUUCAACAGAACUUUUUGGAAUUUUCGGUCCUCAAUGCUUUUCAACUUUGUACUUGUUUGACUUUUUAAUUAUUUUGACCUGAGCGUCACUGAUGAGUCAUUAUUGAAUCUGUUUUUGAGCGUUCAACCGUUCCUCAACAGGCGUAACAGAACAAUAUAAAACGCACUAAAGAACCUUUGGGAAGGACCAAAGUCUUAAAAUAACAAAACAAAAAACAAAAAACGAUAAAAAAAAAAUGUUGUAUGAAAAAAUAUCAGAUAAGACUGGCGUAUUAAAUUAAAAUCCUGGUGCCUUAUCUUCAGUCUUAUCCAGAUAUUUUUUCAUACAACAAUAAACAUUUUUUUUUUAUCGUUUUUUGUUUUUUGUUUUGUUAUUUUAAGAAUUUGGUUUUGAUAGCUGUCACAAACGUUUUGAACUUGUGGCAAUAAUGGCCACUUUUUCCAUUGAUAUGAUUUUCGUCGAUGGAAUUUCGUAUUAAUUAUUUUUA